CUCUCUCUCUCUCUCUAUUGUUAUAACCCUAACUAAAAUACCUCACCUCACGCACAAUCUCUUCAGACUUCAGAGCCGCCUAUCAUCUCUCUCUCUCUCUCUCAACUCACAACUCUGACUCACUCUCCUCUCAUGUCUCACGCCGUCAGCCUCUCUCAUGCUCUAAGCCUCUCGGUCUCAAUCUCUUUGCCGAAGAAGAUGAAGACGAAAUCCUAAGAUUCUCGGCAGUAUGGUGUGCUACGGGUGCUCCUAUAUCAACAUAUGAGAAAAUUAGUAGGUUUCAGCCGUCAUCUUCCUCUUCCUUCUUGUAGAUGGCAGCAAUUCUUUGCUCAGCCAAAAUGCUAGCACGUCUCCUACUUCUUGCUCCUGGAAGUAGGAGAAGUGCACUGACAGCCACAACUUCAUUACUGGCCUCGACCUCCUCAGUGACAGCUUCAGGCUUGGCCACCUCAGAAUCAGUUUCAGGAGGUUGAGGCCAGUAAUGAAGCUGUGGUUGUCAGUGCAUUUCUCCUACUUCCAGCAGGAAGAAGUAGGAGACGUGCUAGCAUUUUGGCUGAGCAGAGAAUUGCUGCCAUCUACAAGAAGGAAGAGGAAGAUGACGAGGAUGAUGAAGAUGAAGAUUGAGAAAAAUUGAAGUAUAUAUCUGGUGAGAAAAUUCAAAAUUCUGUGUAUGAGCGAGAGAUAAAGAGGGUGAUUUAGUGGGUUUUUGUGGUGUGCUUUCUUUCUAUCUUCUCAAUUCUCUCGAUUUUUUAAUUUGCAUGGUGAUUUGUAGGAUCUUUGAUAUGAGAAUAGAAUGCAGAAAUAUGUUUUGAUUUUGUUAGCUCAACAAAUUAAACACAUGGCUGGGUAGUAUGUACUAUUUUAUUUUGGAUUAUAUUUCAUUGGUAAAUUGAAAUAUUUUGUGGUAAUGCUGUAUUUUGGAUUAUAUUUCAUUGGUAAAUUGAAAUAUUAUGUGGUAAUGCUGUAUUUUGGAUUAUAUUUCAUUGGUAAAUUGAAAUAUAAUGUAUGAGGUUUGUUUUGAGCUGAGUGAUAUAUAUUUUCAAUUUGUUAAAGAUAAAUUUAUAUUGGUUAUUUUUUAGUUAAAAUGUUUUGGAUUUAACCAAAAAAAAAAAAUGGGUAUUGGGUCGGGUAUGGAUAUCCAUGGAUAAUAAAUCCGGAUAGAUGUCGGGAAUGGAUACUAAUGGGUAUUGCUAUCCGGGUAUCCGUGGGUAUAUAUUUCAUGUAGGAUAUGGGUAUACCCGAUCUACACCCUACCCAUGGCCAUCCCUAAUUGAGGGAGGGGAUCAUCCGAACAGAGGGAUUUAGUGGAAACAAUCGUUUUUGGCGUUGUAGCUGAUCUGUAAUGGAAUUUUUUAUAUUUUUUUUUAUAGGAAUGGAAAUGGUUGUUCAAGUGGUAAUUACGUAUCUGUUUUCCAAAUAAAACUCUUGCUGUAUUCAAUGAUUGCCUUGCUUGUAUUGUUUAUGGUAUCAAUGAAUACAGCGAUAUAUGGGUGAUGCGUGAAUAUGGGGUCGAGGAUCCUUGGACCAAACAACUUGUUGUAGGACACCUGUUAGGAAUUGAGAGGCCACUACAAAUUCUUGGGAAUGAGGAGAUUCUUCUGGUUGAUGAAAAGAAGACAUUGGUCUUGUAUUAACAUUGGUUCUCAAGAAAUGAAGAUUCUUCAAUGCACGGGGUAUCCAAAAAUAUUCAUGCCAACGCAAGCACUCGUUUAUGUGGAGAGUUGUUUCAUUCACAGGUGGAGAUGUGUUUGAGAGUUAAUUUUCCUGAGCUCCUAGUUAUUUAUAUCAUUAAAUAAUUUUUCAGUAAGUUCUGUGUGGCUUAAAGAAGAUGUUAUGGCUUCUCAUAUGGAUGAUGUGUUUGUUAAUUUAUUUAGAGUGAGUGCUAGUUAAGGGUUUGAGUAGGUUAUUCUGCAAUAACAUCUUAGCUAUUGUUAGCUUUGUUGUCUAUUUGUUCCAGUGAAAUUUACAAAGACUUGGUCA
This is a long non-coding RNA of Quercus lobata, 1980 nucleotides long. RefSeq lists it as uncharacterized. The record is from RefSeq and is a predicted model, not a curated record. The transcript has 2 exons. Lineage: Eukaryota; Viridiplantae; Streptophyta; Magnoliopsida; Fagales; Fagaceae.